CUCCUACGGGAGGCAGCAGUGAGGAAUAUUGCGCAAUGGAGGCAACUCUGACGCAGCCAUGCCGCGUGCAGGAAGAAGGCGCUACGCGUUGUAAACUGCUUUUAACCGGGAAGAAACCCCAGGACGUGUCCUGGGUUGACGGUACCGGAGGAAUAAGCACCGGCUAACUUCGUGCCAGCAGCCGCGGUAAUACGAAGGGUGCAAGCGUUAUCCGGAUUCAUUGGGUUUAAAGGGUGCGUAGGCGGGGUGAUAAGUCAGUGGUGAAAUCUUGCGGCUCAACCGUAAAAUUGCCAUUGAUACUGUCAUUCUUGAGUACGCUUGACGUAAGCGGAAUGUGCCGUGUAGCGGCGAAAUGCUUAGAUAUGGCACAGAACACCAAUAGCGAAGGCAGCUUACGAAGGCGAAACUGACGCUGAGGCACGAAAGCGUGGGGAUCGAACAGGAUUAGAUACCCUGGUAGUCCACGCCGUAAACGAUGAUCACUCGUUAUUGGCGAUAUACGGUCAGUAACCUAGCGAAAGCGUUAAG
This 528-nucleotide ribosomal RNA is filed under the name uncultured bacterium. RNAcentral describes it as "bacterial SSU rRNA". It matches the Rfam family "Bacterial small subunit ribosomal RNA", at positions 336 to 864 of the family's 1533-position model. The record is from RNAcentral.